GCCGUACUGCAAACCAAGCAAUGUCACAGAAUAUUGGAAGUGAGGAUCAAAAUGAUGCUUAUAAUAAUGAAUCUAAAAACCUCCCUGGUCCUGCUGCACCUCCUCCAAGACCUGGUAUGCCUUCAGUUCGUCCUCUUCCGCCACCACCUGGACUAGCUUUGAAUCUACCCCGUGGGCUUAUGCAUAACAUGCAAUAUUCUAAUCCUAAUAGCAUUGGCCUUCCGAUGCCUCCACCAAGACCAGGCAUGCACAUGAUGCAAUCUCUCCGGCCUGCCCCUCCUCCUCCAAUGCAGAUGCCUGGUGGACAACAUUCCAUGAUGGGUGGUCAACCACCCCCAAUGCAUCCAUCAAUUUCUAUGAAUAACCAAGGAAUUCCCAUUCCUCCACCACCUGGAUCUCAGUUCACUCCUGUUCCAAGACCUUAUGCUCCUCACCCUCAUCCAUCAUCAGGGAUGAUGCCUAUGAUGCAUCCACCACCUCCGCCUCAAGGAGUGCCCCCACCGCCGCCACCUGAGGAAGCUCCUCCCCCGCUUCCAGAGGAACCAGAACCGAAGAGGCAGAAACAUGACGAUUCUGCUCUGAUCCCUGAGGAUAAAUUUCU
This 601-nucleotide long non-coding RNA is filed under the name Medicago truncatula (barrel medic). RNAcentral's name for it is "long non-coding RNA (MTRU_LNC006737)". The record is from RNAcentral. Lineage: Eukaryota; Viridiplantae; Streptophyta; Magnoliopsida; Fabales; Fabaceae.